Molecule: small nuclear RNA, 163 nt
Organism: Grammomys surdaster
Lineage: Eukaryota; Metazoa; Chordata; Mammalia; Rodentia; Muridae
Product: U1 spliceosomal RNA
Exons: 1
Source: RefSeq, a predicted model, not a curated record
AAACUUAUUCCAUGAGGGAGAUAGCCUGAUCAUGAAUGUGUUUUUUUCCAAGGUCAGUCUUAUCCAUUGUGUUCUAGGUGUGUUUAUUCCUGAAAUUUCCUCAAAAAUAGGAAUAUUGGCUUGCACCCUGUGUUGGUGAAUUGUGUGUUUGUGCUCUUCCCUG